AAAAAUCGAAAAGGGAUUAGGGUUAUUAUUUGUGGCUGUUGGACUUCAAUCGAGAAACAGAAUUUCUUCAUCUCUCUCGUAAACAACGCGGUGCCUCUCUUCAGACUUACCUUCACUCUGAUCGAUUCUUCUUCCGUUGACAAUGGAUGCUCACCGUUUCACUCAAGUCUAUCCCGCAGUCGGUCUUCCGCACCACCUCCAUCGCAUUUUUCUCUAGACGACUCAACUUUCCUUUCAUCACAGAUCAUCACCUUUGUCAUGCUCUACUUUGUUUCUGUCAUCAUCUCUAUUCUGAUUCUGUCACAAUGGUCGGAGACGAGUUCGUUGCAUCGUCGAGGAGGCGAAGACGAUGUAAAAACCGAUGAGGAUUUCAGGCACAACUCCUUCUUCUCCUUCUGUUUCUACGUUUUUCAUAUUUCUUGCUUUUGCGAAGAUUUGAUCUUCUUCUUCAUUCAAUACUUAUCACCGUGA
Molecule: non-coding RNA, 471 nt
Organism: Vicia faba (fava bean)
Lineage: Eukaryota; Viridiplantae; Streptophyta; Magnoliopsida; Fabales; Fabaceae
Source: the annotation of a GenBank genome assembly